AGCGAACGCUGGCGGCAGGCUUAACACAUGCAAGUCGAGCGGGCACUCCGGUGUCAGCGGCAGACGGGUGGGUAACACGUGGGAACGUACCCUUUGGUUCGGAAUAACGCUGGGAAACAAGCGCUAAUACCGGAUACGCCCUUUUGGGGAAAGGCUUGCUGCCGAAGGAUCGGCCCGCGUCUGAUUAGCUAGUUGGUGGGGUAAUGGCCUACCAAGGCGACGAUCAGUAGCUGGUCUGAGAGGAUGAUCAGCCACACUGGGACUGAGACACGGCCCAGACUCCUACGGGAGGCAGCAGUGGGGAAUAUUGGACAAUGGGCGCAAGCCUGAUCCAGCCAUGCCGCGUGAGUGAUGAAGGCCUUAGGGUUGUAAAGCUCUUUUGUCCGGGACGAUAAUGACGGUACCGGAAGAAUAAGCCCCGGCUAACUUCGUG
This 433-nucleotide ribosomal RNA is filed under the name uncultured bacterium. RNAcentral's name for it is "partial 16S ribosomal RNA". It matches the Rfam family "Bacterial small subunit ribosomal RNA", at positions 29 to 507 of the family's 1533-position model. The record is from RNAcentral.